This 492-nucleotide ribosomal RNA is filed under the name uncultured bacterium. RNAcentral describes it as "partial 16S ribosomal RNA". It matches the Rfam family "Bacterial small subunit ribosomal RNA", at positions 29 to 507 of the family's 1533-position model. The record is from RNAcentral.
AGUGAACGCUGGCGGUAGGCCUAACACAUGCAAGUCGAACGGCAGCACAGUAAGAGCUUGCUCUUACGGGUGGCGCGUGGCGGACGGGUGAGGAAUACAUCGGAAUCUACUUUUUCGUGGGGGAUAACGUAGGGAAACUUACGCUAAUACCGCAUACGACCUACGGGUUAAAGCAGGGGAUCUUCGGACCUUGCGCGAUUGAAUGAGCCGAUGUCGGAUUAGCUAGUUGGCGGGGUAAAGGCCCACCAAGGCGACGAUCCGUAGCUGGUCUGAGAGGAUGAUCAGCCACACUGGAACUGAGACACGGUCCAGACUCCUACGGGAGGCAGCAGUGGGGAAUAUUGGACAAUGGGCGCAAGCCUGAUCCAGCCAUACCGCGUGGGUGAAGAAGGCCUUCGGGUUGUAAAGCCCUUUUGUUGGGAAAGAAAAGCAGCAGGUUAAUACCCCGCUGUUCUGACGGUACCCAAAGAAUAAGCACCGGCUAACUUCGUG